GAGACAGCAGUCGCCGCGGUAAUACGUAGGUGGCAAGCGUUGUCCGGAAUUAUUGGGCGUAAAGGGCUCGCAGGCGGUUUCUUAAGUCUGAUGUGAAAGCCCCCGGCUCAACCGGGGAGGGUCAUUGGAAACUGGGAAACUUGAGUGCAGAAGAGGAGAGUGGAAUUCCACGUGUAGCGGUGAAGUGCGUAGAGAUGUGGAGGAACACCAGUGGCGAAGGCGACUCUCUGGUCUGUAACUGACGCUGAGGAGCGAAAGCGUGGGGAGCGAACAGGAUUAGAUACCCCGGUAGUCCCUGUCUCUUAUAC
RNAcentral lists this ribosomal RNA (308 nucleotides) under uncultured bacterium. Its description in RNAcentral is "partial 16S ribosomal RNA". It matches the Rfam family "Bacterial small subunit ribosomal RNA", at positions 505 to 807 of the family's 1533-position model. The record is from RNAcentral.